AGACGUCUACUAUUAGAUACCCGUGUAGUCCCAGCCGUAAACUAUGCUCGCUAGGUGUCAGGCAUGGCGCGACCGUGUCUGGUGCCGCAGGGAAGCCGUGAAGCGAGCCACCUGGGAAGUACGGCCGCAAGGCUGAAACUUAAAGGAAUUGGCGGGGGAGCACAACAACGGGUGGAGCCUGCGGUUUAAUUGGACUCAACGCCGGACAACUCACCGGGGACGACAGCAAUAUGUAGGCCAGGCUGAAGACCUUGCCUGAAUCGCUG
RNAcentral lists this ribosomal RNA (266 nucleotides) under uncultured archaeon. RNAcentral describes it as "partial 16S ribosomal RNA". It matches the Rfam family "Archaeal small subunit ribosomal RNA", at positions 717 to 982 of the family's 1478-position model. The record is from RNAcentral.